This 884-nucleotide long non-coding RNA is filed under the name Olea europaea (common olive). Its description in RNAcentral is "long non-coding RNA (OEUR_LNC003033)". Lineage: Eukaryota; Viridiplantae; Streptophyta; Magnoliopsida; Lamiales; Oleaceae. The record is from RNAcentral.
UAGCCAAAUUUAUUUAUAACAUAUAAGUCAAAUUAGAUAAUACAAAUUUUUAAUAUUAAUAAUAAUUAUUAUUAUAUGAUUCUCUCUCUACAUAAUAAUUUAUCUUUUCCCUCUCUUCUCUUUACCCAGUCACUUUCGUUAACCUCUAAUAUCUCUCUGUAAUCUCGCUUGACCCUCAAAUUCCUUGAUCCCUACCAUUUUAGAGUCCUCGUCAACGCCCAAGCAGCAACUACUCACCUAUUCGCCUCCAUCCCAACCAUCUUCAUCGCCUAUCUUGGUGAUAAGGGAGUCAAUAAUGGCGGAGCAUUUGAUGGAAAUAGCAUAGGGACUAAAGGGCUCAUUGACAUAGCUAUUGAUGCUGAAGGAGGGGAUGGUUUUGGUGGCGAAAUUGACAUUCGUAUUGGCCGUAGAUUGGAUAUAGGUGGAGGCUUUGGUGGUGGUGCAGGUGGCGGAUAGGUGAAAGGUUAGGUAUUUGAUGUAGGCCAGGAGGUGGUUUGCAAGCUAGAGGUGGAGAUGGUGGUGGAGGUGGUGCUCGUAUGUAAUGCUAGCUUAAGUGGCCGUGGACCUGGUGGAGAAUUUGGUGGCGGAGGUAGUGGUGGCUGAAGAGCUCCUUGAAGAUGUCUGUUCAUCUCAUUUUCAGAUUGAUAAUUAGGACAAAUAAGAGUAAUGUCAUUAUUCAUGAUGGGAUUAAGAAUGAUUGUAGUGAAAUCAUGUAUUUUUUAAUGUUAAAUUUGAGUUGAUUUUAUGCCUUUUUAAUCUCAUUUUUUCAGUAUGAAAAUUGGGUUUUCUUUUUGAGUUUCUCAAAAUGUUAUUGUGCAUAGAUCACUUAUCAAAUAGAACUAGUCACAUAUUAUCGAUUUAUGUUAACAAGGCGUAGGUCAUAU